This 414-nucleotide unclassified non-coding RNA is filed under the name Hevea brasiliensis (rubber tree). The record is from RNAcentral. Lineage: Eukaryota; Viridiplantae; Streptophyta; Magnoliopsida; Malpighiales; Euphorbiaceae.
AAAAGCAAUAAUUCAGUUUAGAAUUUCAGAUCCGGCGACAAGAUCGACGACUCAUUAACAAUAAAUAAAGAGGGGAGAAAUUUCAGCAAAAUAAAAAAGGAAUUGAAAUGGAGGAUGCUCCGGUGGGUUGGGUCAUUAACAAGUUGGACUCCCUGCUAACAGGAGAGGUGAGACUGCUGAGAGACGUCCAUAAAGAAUUUGAAAACGUCAAAUAUGAACUUGAAACCAUUAAAUCAUUCCUGAAAGAUGCAGACGCAAGGUUGGAUCAAGAAAAUGUGGACAGCCGCAUCAGAACUUGGGUGAAGCAAAUGAGAGAAGUCGCUUUCCGCAUAGAAGAUGUCAUCGAUGAAUACAUGUUUCAUGUGGCAAGGUAUCAAAAUCAGCAUGACUACUUGCAUAAAAUGGCUUGCUGUG